RNAcentral lists this ribosomal RNA (239 nucleotides) under uncultured bacterium. RNAcentral describes it as "partial 16S ribosomal RNA". It matches the Rfam family "Bacterial small subunit ribosomal RNA", at positions 92 to 334 of the family's 1533-position model. The record is from RNAcentral.
CGAGCGGCGGACGGGUGAGUAAUGCUUGGGAAUAUGCCUUAUGGUGGGGGACAACAGUUGGAAACGACUGCUAAUACCGCAUAACGUCUACGGACCAAAGGGGGGGAUCUUCGGACCUCCCGCCAUUUGAUUAGCCCAAGUGAGAUUAGCUAGUUGGUAAGGUAAUGGCUUACCAAGGCGACGAUCUCUAGCUGGUUUGAGAGGAUGAUCAGCCACACUGGGACUGAGACACGGCCCAG